Molecule: ribosomal RNA, 674 nt
Filed under: uncultured organism
Description: bacterial SSU rRNA
Rfam family: Bacterial small subunit ribosomal RNA
Source: RNAcentral
GAUGGAAUUCCAGGUGUAGCGGUGGAAUGCGUAGAUAUCUGGAAGAACACCAGUUGCGAAGGCGGUCACCUGGCCCAAUACUGACGCUGAGGCUCGAAAGCUAGGGGAGCGAACAGGAUUAGAUACCCUGGUAGUCCUAGCCGUAAACGAUGGAUACUAGUUGCUGGAGGAGUCAAUCCUUUCAGUGACGAAGUUAACGCAUUAAGUAUCCCGCCUGGGGAGUACGCUCGCAAGGGUGAAACUCAAAGGAAUUGACGGGGGCCCGCACAAGCGGUGGAGCAUGUGCUUUAAUUCGAUGCAACGCGAAGAACCUUACCUGGGUUUGACAUGGGAGUGAAAGGAUCCAGAGAUGGAACCCCUUCCGCAAGGAACACUUCACACAGGUGCUGCAUGGUUGUCGUCAGCUCGUGUCGUGAGAUGUUGGGUUAAGUCCCGCAACGAGCGCAACCCCUGCCCUUAGUUGCCAUCAGGUAAAGCUGGGAACUCUAAGGGGACCGCCUGUCGUAAGCAGGAGGAAGGUGGGGAUGACGUCAAAUCAUCAUGGCCCUUACGCCCAGGGCUAGACACGUGCUACAAUGGUCGGUACAAUGGGAUGCGAACCUGCGAGGGCAAGCUAAUCCCAGAAAACCGGCCUCAGUCCGGAUUGGAGUCUGCAACUCGACUCCAUGAAGUUG